AGAGUUUGAUCCUGGCUCAGAACGAACGCUGGCGGCAGGCUUAACACAUGCAAGUCGAGCGCCCCUCCUUCAAGCAAGCUUGAAGGAUUUUAUCCUUGGAAAAGAAGAUCAAGACAGCUUCUAAGAAGCUUUCUUGAUGGAGGGGAGCGGCAGACGGGUGAGUAACGCGUGGGAAUCUACCUUUCACUACGGAACAACUCCGGGAAACUGGAGCUAAUACCGUAUACGCCCUUAUGGGGAAAGAUUUAUCGGUGAAAGAUGAGCCCGCGUUGGAUUAGCUAGUUGGUGGGGUAAAGGCCUACCAAGGCGACGAUCCAUAGCUGGUCUGAGAGGAUGAUCAGCCACAUUGGGACUGAGACACGGCCCAAACUCCUACGGGAGGCAGCAGUGGGGAAUAUUGGACAAUGGGCGCAAGCCUGAUCCAGCCAUGCCGCGUGAGUGAUGAAGGCCCUAGGGUUGUAAAGCUCUUUCACCGGAGAAGAUAAUGACGGUAUCCGGAGAAGAAGCCCCGGCUAACUUCGUGCCAGCAGCCGCGGUAAUACGAAGGGGGCUAGCGUUGUUCGGAAUUACUGGGCGUAAAGCGCACGUAGGCGGAUAUUUAAGUCAGGGGUGAAAUCCCAGAGCUCAACUCUGGAACUGCCUUUGAUACUGGGUAUCUUGAGUAUGGAAGAGGUAAGUGGAAUUCCGAGUGUAGAGGUGAAAUUCGUAGAUAUUCGGAGGAACACCAGUGGCGAAGGCGGCUUACUGGUCCAUUACUGACGCUGAGGUGCGAAAGCGUGGGGAGCAAACAGGAUUAGAUACCCUAGUAGUCC
Molecule: ribosomal RNA, 812 nt
Filed under: uncultured bacterium
Lineage: Bacteria
Description: bacterial SSU rRNA
Rfam family: Bacterial small subunit ribosomal RNA
Source: RNAcentral